Molecule: ribosomal RNA, 253 nt
Filed under: uncultured bacterium
Lineage: Bacteria
Description: partial 16S ribosomal RNA
Rfam family: Bacterial small subunit ribosomal RNA
Source: RNAcentral
UACGUAGGGGGCAAGCGUUGUCCGGAAUCAUUGGGCGUAAAGCGCGCGUAGGCGGCCCGGUAAGUCCGUUGUAAAAGUCAAAGGCUCAACCUUUGAAAGCCGAUGGAUACUGCCGGGCUAGAAUCCGGAAGAGGCGAGUGGAAUUCCUGGUGUAGCGGUGAAAUGCGCAGAUAUCAGGAGGAACACCAGUGGCGAAGGCGGUGCUCUGGGCCGGAACUGACGCUGAGGAGCGAAAGCGUGGGGAGCAAACAGG